RNAcentral lists this ribosomal RNA (253 nucleotides) under uncultured bacterium. Its description in RNAcentral is "partial 16S ribosomal RNA". It matches the Rfam family "Bacterial small subunit ribosomal RNA", at positions 524 to 776 of the family's 1533-position model. The record is from RNAcentral.
UACGGAGGGGGCUAGCGUUGUUCGGAAUUACUGGGCGUAAAGCGCACGUAGGCGGCUUUGUAAGUUAGAGGUGAAAGCCCAGGGCUUAACCCUGGAAUUGCCUUUAAGACUGCAUCGCUAGAAUCGUGGAGAGGUGAGUGGAACUGCGAGUGUAGAGGUGAAAUUCGUAGAUAUUCGCAAGAACACCAGUGGCGAAGGCGGCUCACUGGCCCGAUACUGACGCUGAGGCACGAAAGCGUGGGGAGCAAACAGG